This 990-nucleotide long non-coding RNA is filed under the name Gossypium raimondii (Peruvian cotton). RNAcentral describes it as "long non-coding RNA (GRAI_LNC006964)". Lineage: Eukaryota; Viridiplantae; Streptophyta; Magnoliopsida; Malvales; Malvaceae. The record is from RNAcentral.
UUUCCACCGAGCAUAUUGAUUUCCAUUUCAAAACUCUCCAUUCUUGAUCUUUUACCUUUCAUUUUCAAUCUGGUUCUCGCACACUAUCCCUUUCUUUUUGUUUUUUUACAUAUUCAGGGACUCUUCCUAUUAGGUAAAUCUCCUUCUUACUCUUCAACGUUUCGACUGCAAUAGAGUGUGCUAGGCUAUUUGUUGUUCGUGGAGUGUAUUCAAAUCUGCAUUUUCUAGAUUUAAACAAGAUCUGUUGAAUAUCAUGUAUAUAUGCACCUAUCAGUGACUUAUCCUGACUGUUCGUCUUGCACUUUUUUAUUAUUGAUAAUGAAUCACCUUCAAUGAUAAUGUUUUUCCAUUUCAUGUCGAUGUCGAGUUGUGUUGCUCUUCGACACGCAAGUGCCUCAGCAGCAAAAGCUAAUGCAACUUGUUAAUGGAUCUCUGAGCAUGCUAAGAGAACCUUGCCUUCACUAUUUCUGACCAUAAUCCCUAGUGCUGAAUGACAAAAUCUCCCAUCAUAUGCUGCAUCAAAGUUGAUCUUCACAAACUAAUCGGGUGGGUGCUUCCAUCUACUGACAACUGGAAAAACUUUGGGGCUUAUCUUUUCAAUCUCAUUUAAUUCUAAAAUAUAACUGUGAACAAAACUCACUAUUUUUUUUUAAAUCUGCUGACUUUUCUGUGCACUCUAGCGUUCCUAUCUCCCCAUAUUGCCAAUAAAACGCAACAAAAAAAUCCUACACUAGAAUGAAGUGUUCUGCUCAAAAACCCAGGUUAGCCGCUGUAAAAACUCCAAAUGAGGUUCUAGUAGAAAAGUCUGACAUGCUAUCUCUCUCAAUACUGAUACUGAAGCAGGACAUUCCCGGCAUAGAUGGUCCAUUGUCUCUGUUCCACUUUCAUACCGGGGGCAUAUCGUAGUGUUUGUUAACUAUCUAUGUUGCAUAUUGACCCGUAUAUGAAGAUAGUUCCAUGAUAUUUUCCAGACUGUAAUUUUUAUUUUUG